Molecule: long non-coding RNA, 1350 nt
Organism: Cygnus olor (mute swan)
Lineage: Eukaryota; Metazoa; Chordata; Aves; Anseriformes; Anatidae
Exons: 5
Source: RefSeq, a predicted model, not a curated record
GCUGCCCCGCUGCCGUGGGCCGGCGCCCCGCGGGUCUGUCGGGUGCAGUCCGUGGCUGUCCCCUGAGCGAUGCCGUGAGGGGUCGCCUGUUUUUAGGGUGAGAGCUGAAGGCAGCCUUUCACAACAGCCGUCGCGGGGAGAUGGGAACAGAUAAAUCAAGGAAAAACAUAGUGAGGGAGCCCUUCUCCCCUUCCCCUUAAGCACAGUGACUGACUAGCGGAAAGAACAAGAACCUGUGGAAAGUUCUGCCUACGCCACCACUGGAAACAUUGAACUUUUCUGGUCAAUGUCUAACAAAUGUCACAAAGUGAUACCAGAAGUGAUAAAUGCCAAAAUGCCAAUGCUUCUGAACAUGCCAUUCAAUUCUUAAAGUAGAGAAACAGGAGAUUAUAGUUUUCACCACCAUUCUUGCUGACAUGGUAAAUAACAUUCCAAGCUGUGAAAUCAGGAAUUGAGCAACAUUUAGGAAGACGCUAACUGGUUUGCAGACUAUGGAGUUCAUGGGGUUCAGUCUCUGCGCUGCGAGGAUAAGCUCCCUGAAGAGACACCGCUUCCUUGCAGCUUCCAAACCACACAAAGUCAUAGCCUCCAGCUAAAUGGUGCACCAACCCACGGCCAUCAGCCCGAAAGAGGCAGGGAGGAAGUGUCCCAGAACCAGAAAGGAUAUCUGAUGAAUAACACAACCAGGAUCAUUCCAUGUCAUUUGGCUGGAGACUGAGAGUCGAUUGAUCUGCAUCCUGAACGUCUAGUGCUUUUGUGGCUUCCAGCACCUGGCAGAGAUGUGAGGAGAGGAGGAAAAAGCUGAGAAGAAAUGGGUAAGUGAACAGGAGCUGAGAAAAUGUUACUGAAGGUGGAGAAUGGGUCCCAUGGGUCUCUUGUACACCGAUCCACCUGAACACGGUCGCUUUGACAUUCCUGAAGCAUGUGCGGGUAACAAAAGUUGUUGAAAGCUGAUGAUUUUGGAAAAAGAAGGGCUUGAGAUGCGGGGUGGCUGGAGAUGGAGUCUGCCCUGGCCCUGUGCCACAAGGCCUUCUGUUAAGCCUUUUUCUCCUGGGCUGUGUGACAAGCUGUUCAAAGGCAGCACCGUGCUCGCUGGUGUGGUGGGGAGCUGAGCGAGGGUCCUGCCCAUCUCACUCGGCACCUGGGACCUGGUGACCGGAAUUCACACCUAACCAUUCACAUAACUUGGUCUUACGGUUCUUAUCGCCUGAAAAUACCACUAAAAUGAUACAGUGGUGAACAAUAGCCUUUAGUGAAUUCUGAGCUAUACUAGAAUGUAAUGCUGGUGUUAUCACUUUGAGAUAAAUUCUUGGAAUGAAUAAAAGAUAUUUAAUAAUAUAGUAGUAUCUG